GACGAACGCUGGCGGCGUGCUUAACACAUGCAAGUCGAACGGAAAGGCCCUGCUUUGGUGGGGUGCUCGAGUGGCGAACGGGUGAGUAACAAGUGAGUAACCUGCCCUUGACUUUGGGAUAACUUCAGGAAACUGGGGCAAAUACCGGAUAGGAGCUCCUGCUGCAUGGUGGGGGUUGGAAAGUUUCGGCGGUUGGGGAUGGGCUCGCGGCUUAUCAGCUUGUUGGUGGGGUAGUGGCUUACCAAGGCUUUGACGGGUAGCCGGCCUGAGAGGGUGACCGGCCACAUUGGGACUGAGAUACGGCCCAGACUCCUACGGGAGGCAGCAGUGGGGAAUAUUGCACAAUGGGCGGAAGCCUGAUGCAGCAACGCCGCGUGCGGGAUGACGGCCUUCGGGUUGUAAACCGCUUUCGCCUGUGACGAAGCGUGAGUGACGGUAAUGGGUAAAGAAGCACCGGCUAACUACGUG
This 468-nucleotide ribosomal RNA is filed under the name uncultured bacterium. RNAcentral describes it as "partial 16S ribosomal RNA". It matches the Rfam family "Bacterial small subunit ribosomal RNA", at positions 28 to 507 of the family's 1533-position model. The record is from RNAcentral.